This 600-nucleotide ribosomal RNA is filed under the name uncultured bacterium. RNAcentral describes it as "bacterial SSU rRNA". It matches the Rfam family "Bacterial small subunit ribosomal RNA", at positions 915 to 1509 of the family's 1533-position model. The record is from RNAcentral.
GGGGGCCCGCACAAGCGGCGGAGCAUGCGGAUUAAUUCGAUGCAACGCGAAGAACCUUACCAAGGCUUGACAUGGGCCGGACCGGGCUGGAAACAGUCCUUCCCCUUUGGGGCCGGUUCACAGGUGGUGCAUGGUUGUCGUCAGCUCGUGUCGUGAGAUGUUGGGUUAAGUCCCGCAACGAGCGCAACCCUCGUUCCAUGUUGCCAGCGCGUAAUGGCGGGGACUCAUGGGAGACUGCCGGGGUCAACUCGGAGGAAGGUGGGGACGACGUCAAAUCAUCAUGCCCCUUAUGUCUUGGGCUUCACGCAUGCUACAAUGGCCGGUACAAAGGGUUGCGAUACUGUGAGGUGGAGCUAAUCCCAAAAAGCCGGUCUCAGUUCGGAUUGGGGUCUGCAACUCGACCCCAUGAAGUCGGAGUCGCUAGUAAUCGCAGAUCAGCAACGCUGCGGUGAAUACGUUCCCGGGCCUUGUACACACCGCCCGUCAAGUCACGAAAGUUGGUAACACCCGAAGCCGGUGGCCUAACCCCUUGUGGGAGGGAGCUGUCGAAGGUGGGACUGGCGAUUGGGACUAAGUCGUAAACNAGGUAACCGUAAGGGC